GAAGUUGAUGAUGAUAUUAUCUGAACUUUGCUUGAUUUCCUCUUGGAAAGUGAAGGCAACUCUAGUCACUACCUCUUCUGAGACAC
Small nucleolar RNA from Candoia aspera, 86 nucleotides. RefSeq annotates it as small nucleolar RNA SNORD11. The transcript has a single exon. The record is from RefSeq and is a predicted model, not a curated record. NCBI's taxonomy places the organism in Eukaryota, Metazoa, Chordata, Lepidosauria, Squamata, Candoiidae.